Molecule: long non-coding RNA, 712 nt
Organism: Helianthus annuus (common sunflower)
Lineage: Eukaryota; Viridiplantae; Streptophyta; Magnoliopsida; Asterales; Asteraceae
Exons: 3
Source: RefSeq, a predicted model, not a curated record
UGCGAUUCCGGUCAAGAAAGAGAGAUGGCUGCUCAAUGCUUCCUAUUCCAAAUCAACUUCUUAGGGUUUCCUUUCUGGUAUCUUCUUUACCUUCACUUCAAACCUAAACUUGAUUUACAUUCGGAUCCAACAGGUACUCUCUAACCCUAAACUUGAUUGGCCUUUCCUCAACAUUAAGAUUUUGAUUGUGUUUUAUUAUUGUUUUUCUCUGUUGUUUGGGUCUGUUAGCUGCUUGCUAAGGGCCUUUCUUGGUACCUAUCCUUUCUCAUAAUCCUAAUUUGUGUUAGAAAUUAGGUUUAGGGUUCUGAUAAUGGAGGUCUGAAUCAAGAAGAAGAUGUGUAGCAGCAGUUCUUGGAGAUAACUCAAGGCCAUUCUUCAAAAAAACCGGCUUCUCAAAAUUGGCUUCUCAAAAUUCGUCACUGGCUUCUCAAAAAAACUCAAGGCCAAGCUCAUUCACAUAAUUUUGAAGCUUCACUCAUUGAUUUAGAUCAAGUUAAAAAUGGUCACUAUGAGUUUCUUGGCUCUUCUUUGGGAAGUAAAGAUAAGGCGAAAGAUGCCAUCUUUUACUCAUACACGAGGCAUAUCAAUGGUUUUGUUGCCAUACUUGAAGAUGAAGAAGCAGCCCAGAUAGCCAAGCAUCCCAGGGUAGUUUUCGUGUUCUUGAACAGGGGUAGACAAUUGCAUACAACUAGAUCAUGGGAUUUUAUGGGGC